GCAGCCUCGCGUGCACGCAAGCUAGCUUGAGCACAACCUGGCGCGCUCCUUCGAAGAGCUGAUAGGCACUACAAAUGAUAUCCUGUUAUGCUGUAACAUAUUGUGAACAUUCAAAAGUGAUCCAAGAAAGAGAGAGCCAGAAGCUGCAACAUGCUCCAAUCCCAGUGUAACCAUGCAAGGUCUCCCUCACUCUUGGUGGUGUCGCAGCUACCACCACACUUGGAGCUCUGGGCUGAGUCUUCCAUUCCACGGAUAUCUUCACCUGCAACAGAAACCUACACCCUCUGCAGAUGAGAGGCAGGUCAGAGCCAUUGUAGCCAAUAAACUGGACCACUGGCUACACUGUGAUAUACUGAGAUGCCUCCACUUAUGAUGCUGCGUUUCAUUUAAAGUGUGAACUCAGAAUUUUCAACUGGAAUGCCGUCUUAAGUCGGAUUUGCAUCUCAGAAAGUCGGGACUGGCCUGUCAAGCCUUAGUUUGUCUGAUUUCAGAUCAUGACAUCAAAUUCAAAAUGGUGAUGUGCACCACAAACUUCUGUGAAAGCUGGAGUAUUAUACUGUUUAUUAGCACUUUUAUCUACUUGUGCCUCAUUAAAUCAGUCAAGCACACAUUAUUGUGAAACUUAUCUAUGUACAUGUUGCUACUUUGUGUGGAUACGUAAAACACUGCAUGUUACCAACUGCUAUUUAUUCCAAUGGAGCAAGCACAACAAAGUUUUACCUGGACAAGUCCACGUUGGUUUUCCAAAUGUUUUACUUGAACACGACUUACUCUGGUGUCAUGUUCUCUGGUCUAACAUCCAAGCUAAAUGGAGUGCAGCCAGAGAAAACUGCAUAGCCAUUGCAUCAUUUAACAAAAUACAUCAUGCUUCUAGUAUUCACCUAUGAC
Polypterus senegalus (gray bichir) is the source of this 888-nucleotide long non-coding RNA. RefSeq lists it as uncharacterized. Lineage: Eukaryota; Metazoa; Chordata; Cladistia; Polypteriformes; Polypteridae. The transcript is spliced from 3 exons. The record is from RefSeq and is a predicted model, not a curated record.